Nymphaea colorata (pocket water lily) is the source of this 878-nucleotide long non-coding RNA. RefSeq lists it as uncharacterized. Lineage: Eukaryota; Viridiplantae; Streptophyta; Magnoliopsida; Nymphaeales; Nymphaeaceae. The record is from RefSeq and is a predicted model, not a curated record. The transcript is spliced from 3 exons.
UGCACUAGUUGUCCCAACCCUUUGCUUCUAUCAUCUCUCAUUCAUUCGACGGCCUUGGAUGAGAAUAUUCCUGUUUGAUCCCCUAAUUUUUUCCUUUAAUUCCUUCGUGUAGUUCUUUGUUUUUACAUGCAAAGUGCCAACUUUUUCCAACCAAUAUGAAAAUGAUAUGCCUGCUGCUGCAGAGUCAGAGUCACAGAUAUCAGAUAUCGUCCCUUCCAUGGAAACAGGCAAGGGGUAGCAACUACAUCCAAACACUAAUAUGGUUAUAACAUGGAUGAAUUUUGCUUGGCAUCCUGUUUAUAAUAUGCACUGCUGAUUGAAAAGGAUUGACCCAAAAAAUUGGAGGCAUUGAAGCUUAAACCAGCAUGCUCAUCUGAGUUUCCACAAGAUGGCUUACAUUUCACCUAAUUUGGAGUUGGAUGCUAGAUAGAGUCUCAUAGGAGUCAAAAUAAUUCAGGUGACAGACAUCAGAGCCAUUUAAUUUUGAUUCUUAGUUUCUUGAUCCUGUUUCUGAAGUAUUGUUGUUAACUCUUUUCCUCAUUAUUUUGCUUUAUUAAAAUCUGUUGGCUUCAUAUGGUGUAAUUUUUUAGGAACUAACUUGACUGUCCAAAACCAUAACAGAAGCACAAUAGCAGAAACAACAACCUAUUCUAGAGGGCAAUGGUUUUACCUUUCCAGCUCUUUCUCUAGCAUUUGACCACAUGACUUGCUAUGUUGUCCUGCCCCCGGUAUGGUCCUAACUCUUUUUUUUUUCUCACUGGGUUAUGUCUUAUGACAUAAGCAAAACAUUAAAAAAAGUAUUUUUCUUAUUAAAUCAUAGUUCCUCAGUAGAAUAGCUAUUAUUAUGUAAUAUCUCCUAUUUUUCUAAGAGCUCUUAA